This 2782-nucleotide ribosomal RNA is filed under the name Escherichia coli. Its description in RNAcentral is "bacterial LSU rRNA". It matches the Rfam family "Bacterial large subunit ribosomal RNA". Lineage: Bacteria; Pseudomonadati; Pseudomonadota; Gammaproteobacteria; Enterobacterales; Enterobacteriaceae. The record is from RNAcentral.
CACACUAUCAUUAACUGAAUCCAUAGGUUAAUGAGGCGAACCGGGGGAACUGAAACAUCUAAGUACCCCGAGGAAAAGAAAUCAACCGAGAUUCCCCCAGUAGCGGCGAGCGAACGGGGAGCAGCCCAGAGCCUGAAUCAGUGUGUGUGUUAGUGGAAGCGUCUGGAAAGGCGUGCGAUACAGGGUGACAGCCCCGUACACAAAAAUGCACAUGCUGUGAGCUCGAUGAGUAGGGCGGGACACGUGGUAUCCUGUCUGAAUAUGGGGGGACCAUCCUCCAAGGCUAAAUACUCCUGACUGACCGAUAGUGAACCAGUACCGUGAGGGAAAGGCGAAAAGAACCCCGGCGAGGGGAGUGAAAAAGAACCUGAAACCGUGUACGUACAAGCAGUGGGAGCACAGAGCAAUCUGUGUGACUGCGUACCUUUUGUAUAAUGGGUCAGCGACUUAUAUUCUGUAGCAAGGUUAACCGAAUAGGGGAGCCGAAGGGAAACCGAGUCUUAACUGGGCGUUAAGUUGCAGGGUAUAGACCCGAAACCCGGUGAUCUAGCCAUGGGCAGGUUGAAGGUUGGGUAACACUAACUGGAGGACCGAACCGACUAAUGUUGAAAAAUUAGCGGAUGACUUGUGGCUGGGGGUGAAAGGCCAAUCAAACCGGGAGAUAGCUGGUUCUCCCCGAAAGCUAUUUAGGUAGCGCCUCGUGAAUUCAUCUCCGGGGGUAGAGCACUGUUUCGGCAAGGGGGUCAUCCCGACUUACCAACCCGAUGCAAACUGCGAAUACCGGAGAAUGUUAUCACGGGAGACACACGGCGGGUGCUAACGUCCGUCGUGAAGAGGGAAACAACCCAGACCGCCAGCUAAGGUCCCAAAGUCAUGGUUAAGUGGGAAACGAUGUGGGAAGGCCCAGACAGCCAGGAUGUUGGCUUAGAAGCAGCCAUCAUUUAAAGAAAGCGUAAUAGCUCACUGGUCGAGUCGGCCUGCGCGGAAGAUGUAACGGGGCUAAACCAUGCACCGAAGCUGCGGCAGCGACGCUUAUGCGUUGUUGGGUAGGGGAGCGUUCUGUAAGCCUGCGAAGGUGUGCUGUGAGGCAUGCUGGAGGUAUCAGAAGUGCGAAUGCUGACAUAAGUAACGAUAAAGCGGGUGAAAAGCCCGCUCGCCGGAAGACCAAGGGUUCCUGUCCAACGUUAAUCGGGGCAGGGUGAGUCGACCCCUAAGGCGAGGCCGAAAGGCGUAGUCGAUGGGAAACAGGUUAAUAUUCCUGUACUUGGUGUUACUGCGAAGGGGGGACGGAGAAGGCUAUGUUGGCCGGGCGACGGUUGUCCCGGUUUAAGCGUGUAGGCUGGUUUUCCAGGCAAAUCCGGAAAAUCAAGGCUGAGGCGUGAUGACGAGGCACUACGGUGCUGAAGCAACAAAUGCCCUGCUUCCAGGAAAAGCCUCUAAGCAUCAGGUAACAUCAAAUCGUACCCCAAACCGACACAGGUGGUCAGGUAGAGAAUACCAAGGCGCUUGAGAGAACUCGGGUGAAGGAACUAGGCAAAAUGGUGCCGUAACUUCGGGAGAAGGCACGCUGAUAUGUAGGUGAAGUCCCUCGCGGAUGGAGCUGAAAUCAGUCGAAGAUACCAGCUGGCUGCAACUGUUUAUUAAAAACACAGCACUGUGCAAACACGAAAGUGGACGUAUACGGUGUGACGCCUGCCCGGUGCCGGAAGGUUAAUUGAUGGGGUCAGCGCAAGCGAAGCUCUUGAUCGAAGCCCCGGUAAACGGCGGCCGUAACUAUAACGGUCCUAAGGUAGCGAAAUUCCUUGUCGGGUAAGUUCCGACCUGCACGAAUGGCGUAAUGAUGGCCAGGCUGUCUCCACCCGAGACUCAGUGAAAUUGAACUCGCUGUGAAGAUGCAGUGUACCCGCGGCAAGACGGAAAGACCCCGUGAACCUUUACUAUAGCUUGACACUGAACAUUGAGCCUUGAUGUGUAGGAUAGGUGGGAGGCUUUGAAGUGUGGACGCCAGUCUGCAUGGAGCCGACCUUGAAAUACCACCCUUUAAUGUUUGAUGUUCUAACGUGGACCCGUGAUCCGGGUUGCGGACAGUGUCUGGUGGGUAGUUUGACUGGGGCGGUCUCCUCCUAAAGAGUAACGGAGGAGCACGAAGGUUGGCUAAUCCUGGUCGGACAUCAGGAGGUUAGUGCAAUGGCAUAAGCCAGCUUGACUGCGAGCGUGACGGCGCGAGCAGGUGCGAAAGCAGGUCAUAGUGAUCCGGUGGUUCUGAAUGGAAGGGCCAUCGCUCAACGGAUAAAAGGUACUCCGGGGAUAACAGGCUGAUACCGCCCAAGAGUUCAUAUCGACGGCGGUGUUUGGCACCUCGAUGUCGGCUCAUCACAUCCUGGGGCUGAAGUAGGUCCCAAGGGUAUGGCUGUUCGCCAUUUAAAGUGGUACGCGAGCUGGGUUUAGAACGUCGUGAGACAGUUCGGUCCCUAUCUGCCGUGGGCGCUGGAGAACUGAGGGGGGCUGCUCCUAGUACGAGAGGACCGGAGUGGACGCAUCACUGGUGUUCGGGUUGUCAUGCCAAUGGCACUGCCCGGUAGCUAAAUGCGGAAGAGAUAAGUGCUGAAAGCAUCUAAGCACGAAACUUGCCCCGAGAUGAGUUCUCCCUGACUCCUUGAGAGUCCUGAAGGAACGUUGAAGACGACGACGUUGAUAGGCCGGGUGUGUAAGCGCAGCGAUGCGUUGAGCUAACCGGUACUAAUGAACCGUGAGGCUUAACCUUACAACGCCGAAGGUGUUU